UGGUAAACUUUCAUUCAAUUU
This 21-nucleotide non-coding RNA is filed under the name Caenorhabditis elegans. Lineage: Eukaryota; Metazoa; Nematoda; Chromadorea; Rhabditida; Rhabditidae. The record is from RNAcentral.